GAUGAACGCUAGCGGGAGGCUUAAUACAUGCAAGUCGAGCGGUAGGUGGCUUCGGCCAUUGAGAGCGGCGCACGGGUGAGUAACACGUACAUGACCUACCUGUCAGAAGGGGAUAGCCCUGGGAAACUGGGAUUAAUACCCUAUGGUAUUACGAAUGUAAAGGUUUGUAAUUAAAGCUGAGGUGCUGACAGAUGGAUGUGCGUCUGAUUAGCUAGUUGGUGGGGUAAAGGCCUACCAAGGCGACGAUCAGUAGGGGGCGUGAGAGCGUGAACCCCCACACGGGUACUGAGACACGGACCCGACUCCUACGGGAGGCAGCAGUAAGGAAUAUUGGUCAAUGCCCGACAGGGUGAACCAGCCAUUCCGCGUGGAGGAUGAAGGCCCUAUGGGUUGUAAACUUCUUUUAGAUGGGAAUAAAAUGCCCUUUGCGAAGGGUACUGAAGGUACCAUCAGAAUAAGCACCGGCUAACUCCGUG
RNAcentral lists this ribosomal RNA (476 nucleotides) under uncultured organism. RNAcentral's name for it is "bacterial SSU rRNA". It matches the Rfam family "Bacterial small subunit ribosomal RNA", at positions 28 to 507 of the family's 1533-position model. The record is from RNAcentral.